AGGAAGAAGCUUGCUUCUUUGCUGACGAGUGGCGGACGGGUGAGUAAUGUCUGGGAAACUGCCUGAUGGAGGGGGAUAACUACUGGAAACGGUAGCUAAUACCGCAUAACGUCGCAAGACCAAAGAGGGGGACCUUCGGGCCUCUUGCCAUCGGAUGUGCCCAGAUGGGAUUAGCUUGUUGGUGGGGUAACGGCUCACCAAGGCGACGAUCCCUAGCUGGUCUGAGAGGAUGACCAGCCACACUGGAACUGAGACACGGUCCAGACUCCUACGGGAGGCAGCAGUGGGGAAUAUUGCACAAUGGGCGCAAGCCUGAUGCAGCCAUGCCGCGUGUAUGAAGAAGGCCUUCGGGUUGUAAAGUACUUUCAGCGGGGAGGAAGGGAGUAAAGUUAAUACCUUUGCUCAUUGACGUUACCCGCAGAAGAAGCACCGGCUAACUCCGUGCCAGCAGCCGCGGUAAUACGGAGGGUGCAAGCGUUAAUCGGAAUUACUGGGCGUAAAGCGCACGCAGGCGGUUUGUUAAGUCAGAUGUGAAAUCCCCGGGCUCAACCUGGGAACUGCAUCUGAUACUGGCAAGCUUGAGUCUCGUAGAGGGGGGUAGAAUUCCAGGUGUAGCGGUGAAAUGCGUAGAGAUCUGGAGGAAUACCGGUGGCGAAGGCGGCCCCCUGGACGAAGACUGACGCUCAGGUGCGAAAGCGUGGGGAGCAAACAGGAUUAGAUACCCUGGUAGUCCACGCCGUAAACGAUGUCGACUUGGAGGUUGUGCCCUUGAGGCGUGGCUUCCGGAGCUAACGCGUUAAGUCGACCGCCUGGGGAGUACGGCCGCAAGGUUAAAACUCAAAUGAAUUGACGGGGGCCCGCACAAGCGGUGGAGCAUGUGGUUUAAUUCGAUGCAACGCGAAGAACCUUACCUGGUCUUGACAUCCACGGAAGUUUUCAGAGAUGAGAAUGUGCCUUCGGGAACCGUGAGACAGGUGCUGCAUGGCUGUCGUCAGCUCGUGUUGUGAAAUGUUGGGUUAAGUCCCGCAACGAGCGCAACCCUUAUCCUUUGUUGCCAGCGGUCCGGCCGGGAACUCAAAGGAGACUGCCAGUGAUAAACUGGAGGAAGGUGGGGAUGACGUCAAGUCAUCAUGGCCCUUACGACCAGGGCUACACACGUGCUACAAUGGCGCAUACAAAGAGAAGCGACCUCGCGAGAGCAAGCGGACCUCAUAAAGUGCGUCGUAGUCCGGAUUGGAGUCUGCAACUCGACUCCAUGAAGUCGGAAUCGCUAGUAAUCGUGGAUCAGAAUGCCACGGUGAAUACGUUCCCGGGCCUUGUACACACCGCCCGUCACACCAUGGGAGUGGGUUGCAAAAGAAGUAGGUAGCUUAACCUUCGGGAGGGCGCUUACCACUUUGUGAUUCAUGACUGGGGUGAAGUCGUAACAAGGUAACCGUAGGGGAACCUGCGGUUGGAUCACCUCCUUACCUUAAAGAAGC
RNAcentral lists this ribosomal RNA (1481 nucleotides) under Shigella sonnei. Its description in RNAcentral is "bacterial SSU rRNA". It matches the Rfam family "Bacterial small subunit ribosomal RNA". Lineage: Bacteria; Pseudomonadati; Pseudomonadota; Gammaproteobacteria; Enterobacterales; Enterobacteriaceae. The record is from RNAcentral.